UACGGAGGGUGCAAGCGUUAUCCGGAAUCAUUGGGUUUAAAGGGUCCGCAGGCGGAUUUAUAAGUCAGUGGUGAAAGCCCGUCGCUUAACGACGGAACUGCCAUUGAUACUGUAAGUCUUGAAUUCGAUCGAAGUGGGCGGAAUAUGACAUGUAGCGGUGAAAUGCUUAGAUAUGUCAUAGAACACCGAUAGCGAAGGCAGCUCACUAGGUCUGGAUUGACGCUCAGGGACGAAAGCGUGGGGAGCAAACAGG
This 253-nucleotide ribosomal RNA is filed under the name uncultured bacterium. RNAcentral describes it as "partial 16S ribosomal RNA". It matches the Rfam family "Bacterial small subunit ribosomal RNA", at positions 524 to 776 of the family's 1533-position model. The record is from RNAcentral.